This 96-nucleotide small nuclear RNA is filed under the name Octodon degus (degu). Lineage: Eukaryota; Metazoa; Chordata; Mammalia; Rodentia; Octodontidae. The record is from RNAcentral.
UUGCUUCAGUAGCACAUACACUAAAAUUGGAAUGAUAGAGAUUAGCAUGGCCCCUGCACAAGGAUGACGCAAAUUCGUGACGCAGCCUGUAUUUUU